RNAcentral lists this ribosomal RNA (255 nucleotides) under uncultured bacterium. RNAcentral describes it as "partial 16S ribosomal RNA". It matches the Rfam family "Bacterial small subunit ribosomal RNA", at positions 100 to 353 of the family's 1533-position model. The record is from RNAcentral.
GGACGGGUGAGUAACGCGUGGGUAACCUGCCUUAUACAGGGGGAUAACAGUCAGAAAUGGCUGCUAAUACCGCAUAAGCGCACAGAGCUGCAUGGCUCAGUGUGAAAAACUCCGGUGGUAUAAGAUGGACCCGCGUUGGAUUAGCUUGUUGGUGGGGUAACGGCCCACCAAGGCGACGAUCCAUAGCCGGCCUGAGAGGGUGAACGGCCACAUUGGGACUGAGACACGGUCCAAACUCCUACGGGAGGCAGCAUG